GAGAAAACCCCCUUGUUUUUUUUAAAAAGGGUUUCUGUUUUCUCUUUGGGAGGGCCCCGCGCGUUUUUAGUUAUUUGGGGAGGUAAAGGUUCCCCCAAGGCCAUGAUACGUAGCCGCCCCUGAGGGGUAUUGGCCACCUUGGGACUGAGACCCGGCCCCAGAUUCCUACGGGAGGCAGCAGUAGGGAAUUCUUCCACAAUGGACGCAAGUCUGAUGGAGCAACGCCGCGUGAGUGAAGAAGGGUUUCGGCUCGUAAAGCUCUGUUGUUAAAGAAGAACGUGGGUAAGAGUAACUGUUUACCCAGUGACGGUAUUUAACCAGAAAGCCACGGCUAACUACGUGCCAGCAGCCGCGGUAAUACGUAGGUGGCAAGCGUUAUCCGGAUUUAUUGGGCGUAAAGCGAGCGCAGGCGGUCUUUUAAGUCUAAUGUGAAAGCCUUCGGCUCAACCGAAGAAGUGCAUUGGAAACUGGGAGACUUGAGUGCAGAAGAGGACAGUGGAACUCCAUGUGUAGCGGUGAAAUGCGUAGAUAUAUGGAAGAACACCAGUGGCGAAGGCGGCUGUCUGGUCUGCAACUGACGCUGAGGCUCGAAAGCAUGGGUAGCGAACAGGAUUAGAUACCCUGGUAGUCCAUGCCGUAAACGAUGAUUACUAAGUGUUGGAGGGUUUCCGCCCUUCAGUGCUGCAGCUAACGCAUUAAGUAAUCCGCCUGGGGAGUACGACCGCAAGGUUGAAACUCAAAAGAAUUGACGGGGGCCCGCACAAGCGGUGGAGCAUGUGGUUUAAUUCGAAGCUACGCGAAGAACCUUACCAGGUCUUGACAUCUUCUGACAGUCUAAGAGAUUAGAGGUUCCCUUCGGGGACAGAAUGACAGGUGGUGCAUGGUUGUCGUCAGCUCGUGUCGUGAGAUGUUGGGUUAAGUCCCGCAACGAGCGCAACCCUUAUUACUAGUUGCCAGCAUUAAGUUGGGCACUCUAGUGAGACUGCCGGUGACAAACCGGAGGAAGGUGGGGACGACGUCAAAUCAUCAUGCCCCUUAUGACCUGGGCUACACACGUGCUACAAUGGAUGGUACAACGAGUCGCGAGACCGCGAGGUUAAGCUAAUCUCUUAAAACCAUUCUCAGUUCGGACUGUAGGCUGCAACUCGCCUACACGAAGUCGGAAUCGCUAGUAAUCGCGGAUCAGCAUGCCGCGGUGAAUACGUUCCCGGGCCUUGUACACACCGCCCGUCACACCAUGAGAGUUUGUAACACCCAAAGCCGGUGGGGUAACCUUUUAGGAGCUAGCCGUCUAAGUGACAG
RNAcentral lists this ribosomal RNA (1302 nucleotides) under Pediococcus pentosaceus. RNAcentral's name for it is "bacterial SSU rRNA". It matches the Rfam family "Bacterial small subunit ribosomal RNA", at positions 179 to 1470 of the family's 1533-position model. The record is from RNAcentral. Lineage: Bacteria; Bacillati; Bacillota; Bacilli; Lactobacillales; Lactobacillaceae.